This 400-nucleotide ribosomal RNA is filed under the name phytoplankton environmental sample. Its description in RNAcentral is "partial small subunit ribosomal RNA". It matches the Rfam family "Eukaryotic small subunit ribosomal RNA", at positions 587 to 979 of the family's 1831-position model. The record is from RNAcentral.
AGCUCCAAUAGCGUAUAUUAAAGUUGUUGCAGUUAAAAAGCUCGUAGUUGGAUCUCAGGUGCUGGCGGAUGGUCCCUUUAACGAGGGUUACUGUCCGCUCCGGCCCUACCCGCCAGUGUGUCAAGGGUGCUCUUGACUGAGUGCCCCUGGCGGCUGGAACGUUUACUUUGAAAAAAUUAGAGUGUUCAAAGCAGGCAUUCAUCGUGCCCGAAUACAUGAGCAUGGAAUAAUGGAACAGGACUACGGUCACUGCACUUUUUCCGUUGGUUUCGGAGGACCGAAGUAAUGAUUAAGAGGGACAGUUGGGGGCAUCCGUAUUUCGUAGUCAGAGGUGAAAUUCUUGGAUCUGCGAAAGACGAACGAGUGCGAAAGCAUUUGCCAAGAGUGUUUUCAUUAAUCA